UGAGGAAUAUUGGUCAAUGGGCGAAAGCCUGAACCAGCCAUGCCGCGUGAAGGAAUAAGGCCCUAUGGGUCGUAAACUUCUUUUGUAUCGGAGCAAUAAGGGUCACGAGUGAUCCGAUGAGAUUACGAUACGAAUAAGCAUCGGCUAACUCCGUGCCAGCAGCCGCGGUAAUACGGAGGAUGCAAGCGUUAUCCGGAUUUAUUGGGUGUAAAGGGCGUGUAGCCGGGAGGGCAAGUCAGAUGUGAAAUCCACGGGCUUAACUCGUGAACUGCAUUUGAAACUGUUCUUCUUGAGUAUCGGAGAGGCAAUCGGAAUUCCUAGUGUAGCGGUGAAAUGCGUAGAUAUUAGGAGGAGCACCAGUGGCGAAGGCGGAUUGCUGGACGACAACUGACGGUGAGGCGCGAAAGCGUGGGGAGCAAACAGGAUUAGAUACCUGGUAU
RNAcentral lists this ribosomal RNA (440 nucleotides) under uncultured Pseudoflavonifractor sp. RNAcentral describes it as "bacterial SSU rRNA". It matches the Rfam family "Bacterial small subunit ribosomal RNA", at positions 355 to 793 of the family's 1533-position model. Lineage: Bacteria; Bacillati; Bacillota; Clostridia; Eubacteriales; Oscillospiraceae. The record is from RNAcentral.